RNAcentral lists this ribosomal RNA (356 nucleotides) under uncultured bacterium. RNAcentral's name for it is "bacterial SSU rRNA". It matches the Rfam family "Bacterial small subunit ribosomal RNA", at positions 917 to 1271 of the family's 1533-position model. The record is from RNAcentral.
GGGCCCGCACAAGCGGUGGAGUAUGUGGUUUAAUUCGAAGAUACGCGCAGAACCUUACCAACACUUGACAUGUUCGUCGCGACUCUAAGAGAUUAGAGUUUUCGGUUCGGCCGGACGAAACACAGGUGCUGCAUGGCUGUCGUCAGCUCGUGUCGUGAGAUGUUGGUUAAGUCCCGCAACGAGCGCAACCCUCACUUUUAGUUGCCAUCAUUAAGUUGGGCACUUUAAGGAAACUGCCGGUGAUAAGCCGGAGGAAGGUGGGGAUGACGUCAAGUCCUCAUGGCCCUUACAGGCUGGGCUACACACGUGCUACAAUGGCGAUGACAGUGGGCAGCGACCCCGCAAGGGUGAGCUAA